RNAcentral lists this ribosomal RNA (468 nucleotides) under uncultured bacterium. Its description in RNAcentral is "partial 16S ribosomal RNA". It matches the Rfam family "Bacterial small subunit ribosomal RNA", at positions 28 to 507 of the family's 1533-position model. The record is from RNAcentral.
GACGGACGCUGGCGGCGUGCUUAACACAUGCAAGUCGAACGGAAAGGCCCUGCUUUUGUGGGGUGCUCGAGUGGCGAACGGGUGAGUAACACGUGAGUAACCUGCCCUUGACUUUGGGAUAACUUCAGGAAACUGGGGCUAAUACCGGAUAGGAGCUCCUGCUGCAUGGUGGGGGUUGGAAAGUUUCGGCGGUUGGGGAUGGACUCGCGGCUUAUCAGCUUGUUGGUGGGGUAGUGGCUUACCAAGGCUUUGACGGGUAGCCGGCCUGAGAGGGUGACCGGCCACAUUGGGACUGAGAUACGGCCCAGACUCCUACGGGAGGCAGCAGUGGGGAAUAUUGCACAAUGGGCGGAAGCCCGAUGCAGCAACGCCGCGUGCGGGAUGACGGCCUUCGGGUUGUAAACCGCUUUCGCCUGUGACGAAGCGUGAGUGACGGUAAUGGGUAAAGAAGUACCGGCUAACUACGUG